CCUACGGGCGGCAGCAGUCGGGAAUAUUGCGCAAUGGAGGAAACUCUGACGCAGUAACGCCGCGUGCAGGAAGAAGGUUUUCGGAUUGUAAACUUCUUUAAACAGGGAAGAACAAAGACAGUACCUGUUUGAUAAGCUCCGGCCAACUACGUUCCAGCAGCCGGGGUAAUACGUAGGGUGCAAGCGUUAUCCGGAUUUAUUGGGUGUAAAGGGUGUGUAGACGGAGAAGCAAGUUAGUUGUGAAAUCCCUCGGCUUAACUGCGGAACUGCAACUAAAACUACUUCCCUUGAGUAAUGGAGAGGAAAUGGGAAUUCCUAGUGUAGCGGUGAAAUGCGUAGAUAUUAGGAGGAACACCAGUGGCGAAGGCGAAUUUCUGGACAGUAACUGACGUUGAGGCACGAAAGUGUGGGGAGCAAACAGGAUUAGAUACCCGUGUAGUC
This 441-nucleotide ribosomal RNA is filed under the name uncultured bacterium. Its description in RNAcentral is "partial 16S ribosomal RNA". It matches the Rfam family "Bacterial small subunit ribosomal RNA", at positions 338 to 795 of the family's 1533-position model. The record is from RNAcentral.